RNAcentral lists this ribosomal RNA (253 nucleotides) under uncultured bacterium. Its description in RNAcentral is "partial 16S ribosomal RNA". It matches the Rfam family "Bacterial small subunit ribosomal RNA", at positions 524 to 776 of the family's 1533-position model. The record is from RNAcentral.
UACAGUGGGUGCAAACGUUGCUCGGAAUCAUUGGGCGUAAAGCGCACGUAGGCGGUUCGUUAUGUCGGAUGUGAAAGCCCUUGGCUUAACCGAGGAAGUGCAUCCGAAACUGGCGAGCUAGAGUACGAAAGAGGAUCGCGGAAUUCCCGGUGUAGAGGUGAAAUUCGUAGAUAUCGGGAGGAACACCAGUGGCGAAGGCGGCGACCUGGGCCAAUAUUGACGCUGAGGUGCGAAAGCGUGGGGAGCAAACAGG